Molecule: ribosomal RNA, 211 nt
Filed under: Listeria monocytogenes
Lineage: Bacteria; Bacillati; Bacillota; Bacilli; Caryophanales; Listeriaceae
Description: partial 16S ribosomal RNA
Rfam family: Bacterial small subunit ribosomal RNA
Source: RNAcentral
UUUAAAGAGAGUUUGAUCCUGGCUCAGGACGAACGCUGGCGGCGUGCCUAAUACAUGCAAGUCGAACGAACGGAGGAAGAGCUUGCUCUUCCAAAGUUAGUGGCGGACGGGUGAGUAACACGUGGGCAACCUGCCUGUAAGUUGGGGAUAACUCCGGGAAACCGGGGCUAAUACCGAAUGAUAAAGUGUGGCGCAUGCCACGCUUUUGAAA